UCGUGCAAAGUGUGAGAGUGCACACGCCGAGUGCUGUCGCUGGCUCUCAAGGAGUCGUGCACGCCCGGAGCGUGUCCUCUCACAUAACACAAUCCAUCUCACCCUUUGUGCACCACCGCGUGGGCACCCUCCUCGGAGGGGGCUCGCGUUUUCACACAACCCCCCCUUUAAAAAGCGUAGAAUGCAUUUGUUAUUGAAAUCAAUA
RNAcentral lists this unclassified non-coding RNA (205 nucleotides) under uncultured Russulaceae. RNAcentral describes it as "sequence contains ITS1". Lineage: Eukaryota; Fungi; Basidiomycota; Agaricomycetes; Russulales; Russulaceae. The record is from RNAcentral.